GAAAUGCGAUAAGUAAUGUGAAUUGCAGAAUUCCGUGAAUCAUCGAAUCUUUGAACGCACAUUGCGCCCUCUGGUAUUCCGGGGGGCAUGCCUGUCCGAGCGUCAUUGCACACCCUCAAGCGCGGCUUGUGUGUUGGGCCCCCGCGUCCUUGCCAUUUAAAGGACGGGCCCGAAAGGCAGUGGCGGCGUCGCGGUUAUCCGAUCAGCCAGAGCGUAUGGGGACUCUGUUCACACGUUCGGGGCGCGGACCGUUCCGGGCCUCCCAGCGCAGUAGCAAUAGCCUCGCUGCGGAAGGAAGGGACGGCUUCUGGCCCCAUUCGUCGACAUUUUCGUCGUCGACUUUUCAAGAGCUUGACCUCGGAUCAGGUAGGACUACCCGCUGAACUUAAGC
RNAcentral lists this unclassified non-coding RNA (391 nucleotides) under plant metagenome. RNAcentral's name for it is "partial contains 5.8S ribosomal RNA, internal transcribed spacer 2, and large subunit ribosomal RNA". The stretch from base 1 to 105 matches the Rfam family "5.8S ribosomal RNA", at positions 50 to 154 of the family's 154-position model. The record is from RNAcentral.